Molecule: ribosomal RNA, 273 nt
Filed under: uncultured prokaryote
Description: partial 16S ribosomal RNA
Rfam family: Bacterial small subunit ribosomal RNA
Source: RNAcentral
UACGGGGGGUGCAAGCGUUGUUCGGAAUCAUUGGGCGUAAAGAGCGUGUAGGCGGCUGGAUAAGUCAGAUGUGAAAGCCCUGGGCUCAACCCAGGAAGUGCAUUUGAUACUGUCCUGCUAGAGUAGGGAAGAGGGAAGUGGAAUUCCUGGUGUAGAGGUGAAAUUCGUAGAUAUCAGGAGGAACACCGGUGGCGAAGGCGACUUCCUGGUCCUAUACUGACGCUGAGACGCGAGAGCGUGGGGAGCAAACAGGAUUAGAAACCCUAGUAGUCC